ACGGAGGGGGCUAGCGUUGUUCGGAAUUACUGGGCGUAAAGCGCGCGUAGGCGGCUUUGUAAGUCAGAGGUGAAAGCCUGGAGCUCAACUCCAGAACUGCCUUUGAGACUGCAUCGCUAGAAUCAUGGAGAGGUAAGUGGAAUUCCGAGUGUAGAGGUGAAAUUCGUAGAUAUUCGGAAGAACACCAGUGGCGAAGGCGACUUACUGGACAUGUAUUGACGCUGAGGCGCGAAAGCGUGGGGAGCAAACAGGAUUAGAUACCCUGGUAGUCCACGCCGUAAACGAUGAUGACUAGCUGUCGGGGCUCUUAGAGCUUCGGUGGCGCAGCUAACGCGUUAAGUCAUCCGCCUGGGGAGUACGGCCGCAAGGUUA
Molecule: ribosomal RNA, 372 nt
Filed under: uncultured bacterium
Lineage: Bacteria
Description: bacterial SSU rRNA
Rfam family: Bacterial small subunit ribosomal RNA
Source: RNAcentral